RNAcentral lists this ribosomal RNA (449 nucleotides) under uncultured bacterium. Its description in RNAcentral is "bacterial SSU rRNA". It matches the Rfam family "Bacterial small subunit ribosomal RNA", at positions 355 to 796 of the family's 1533-position model. The record is from RNAcentral.
UGAGGAAUCUUGCGCAAUGGGCGAAAGCCUGACGCAGCGACGCCGCGUGGAGGAUGAAGGUCUUUGGAUUGUAAACUCCUGUUAAGUGGGAAGAAAGGCUUGUUUCUAAUAAAGACAAGUUAUGACGGUACCAUUAGAGAAAGCACCGGCUAAACUCGUGCCAGCAGCCGCGGUAAUACGAGUGGUGCAAGCGUUAUUCGGAAUAAUUGGGCGUAAAGGGUGCGUAGGCGGCAUAUUAAGUCAACUGUUAAAUUCCUCGGCCUAACCGAGGAUCUGCGGUAGAUACUGAUGUGCUAGAGGGUGGAAGAGAGAAGUGGAAUUCUCGGAGUAGCGGUAAAAUGCGUAGAUCUCGAGAGGAACACCAAUGGCGAAGGCAGCUUCUUGGUCCACACCUGACGCUGAGGCACGAAAGCGUGGGGAGCAAACAGGAUUAGAUACCCCCGUAGUCC